RNAcentral lists this ribosomal RNA (450 nucleotides) under uncultured bacterium. RNAcentral's name for it is "bacterial SSU rRNA". It matches the Rfam family "Bacterial small subunit ribosomal RNA", at positions 28 to 458 of the family's 1533-position model. The record is from RNAcentral.
GAUGAACGCUGGCGGCGUGCCUAACACAUGCAAGUCGAACGAAGCUCCUGCGACAGAUUCCUUCGGGAUGAAGAUGCUUGAGACUUAGUGGCGGACGGGUGAGUAACGCGUGGGUAACCUGCCCUGUACUGGGGGACAACAGUUAGAAAUGACUGCUAAUACCGCAUAAGCCUACAGAGUCGCAUGACUUAGUAGGAAAAAUUCUGGUGGUACAGGAUGGGCCCGCGUCUGAUUAGCUAGUUGGUGAGGUAACGGCUCACCAAGGCGACGAUCAGUAGCCGGCUUGAGAGAGUGAACGGCCACAUUGGGACUGAGACACGGCCCAAACUCCUACGGGAGGCAGCAGUGGGGAAUAUUGCACAAUGGGGGAAACCCUGAUGCAGCAACGCCGCGUGAGUGAAGAAGUAUUUCGGUAUGUAAAGCUCUAUCAGCAGGGAAGAAAAUGACGGU